UUUUUUUUCUUUUGGAAGAUGAGUCUAAUGAGUUUUGAAGUUUCAGAAGACAAUGUUCUCUCUGCACCUGUGUGAAUGUUUUGUCGGAAUCAAUUAUGGAGUAUGUAAUUAUAUGGAUAUUGAAUAAUUAGUGCAAAACUCAUUGGAAAUGCCAAAGUUAAACAAGUUCUCUCUUGCAUAUGAAGACAGUUGCUCUAAUGGGUCAAGUUUCAUUAGCUAAUGCUGCCAGUCACACAAAGAGAUAGUCUGGCGAUAUUUAUACAUCAUGGAUCAUGAGUCAAACACCUUUCCAAUUCAUCUGAGUCACUUUUCGCUGUGACAGAAAACAUGUUCUCCAAGGUCCUUAGCAGUUUCUUUCAGCAAUUAUGCAGCAUGAUGAGUCCUUGCAGUCAUGAUGGCUACAUCUCUAUUCUAUCAGACAUCUUUAUUAAAUUAGUUUAUUAUUAUGCUCAUGAUUCCCCUGGGUGAACAAAAUCUAAGAAAAAUAACUAUAGUAAAAUAGUUCCCCAUAUGAGAGACCAUGUUUUUAUCUAUUAAUUUUGAGCUGGAAAAUGCAAACACAAGGAAGAAAAGCAUAUAUUCUUUUGUUUUUGUCCUCCUAUAUGUCAUUUUCUAAUCAAUGAAGAUCUAAAUAUUUUCAAUAAUGUCCCAGUAGAAUAUAAAUUACACAGGAAUAGAGACAUUAUCUCUACUUCUGUUCACCAAUGCAUCUCCAUGACUCAAGUAUAGUUUGUCUGAAGAAGCAGGUGCUCAUAUCAUACAAAUAUCAGAAAAAAAUGCAGGGACAGUAUUAUCAUGAAUGUUAAGUGAAUGUCAUGC
This 819-nucleotide long non-coding RNA is filed under the name Marmota monax (woodchuck). The record is from RNAcentral. Lineage: Eukaryota; Metazoa; Chordata; Mammalia; Rodentia; Sciuridae.